Sesamum indicum (sesame) is the source of this 1182-nucleotide non-coding RNA. The record is from RefSeq and is a predicted model, not a curated record. Lineage: Eukaryota; Viridiplantae; Streptophyta; Magnoliopsida; Lamiales; Pedaliaceae.
UGAAAAGAGCGAAAAUUUUCUCGGCCCAUAUCGAAGAACCCAUGUUGAAUUAAACUCAGACCCCAAGAAUUUCGGGCCCUAAAUACAAGGAAUCAGCCUUCAUCGAUCACGUUAUCGGUAAGAUCUUCAGGUGUAGAGAAUUAAAACAGAGAAUUCCACGUUUUCACUUGACUUUCAAAAAUGAAUGCACAAAUCGCGCGCUAGAUGAUCACCCAAAAGCUCCGUUCCCACCAAGCCCUCGACUCAUCUUUUUCUUUCUUUUUGGUUUUUUCUUCAUGUGAUCGUACAAAUCGAGCCAGUAAUUCUAGAACUGGAACUCUCUAUUUUUGUGCCUGUUUUUUCUUCACUCAUAGUGCUCGAAUUGCAUAUUUAAGCUGUAGUUACUGCCAAAUUUCAAUAUGCGAGCAAAAUGACAGAGACAGCAGGCAAUGGUCUUGCAGACGGCAUGGUUGCUUAUUCCAAGGAUUAACAGGGUUAUCGUUGAUGGUUUUUUAAAAGUGUACAGAUGGGAUUCAAUAUGAUAAUUAUGCUGCCCAAUCCAACUUUAUCAGUAUACCAAAUGGUUUCAUGCAAGUGUGGUGUUCAAUGCCUUAUGACUGUUCAAUGCAUGUACAUGAGACUGUGCAGUGUGCCCUUCGAAUCUUGAUGCAACUAGUCAUGCUGCACAUACCCGUUAUGGGCAAUGUAUUGAACAGAGAGGUUUUUCUAUAUUCUUUGGGCAAAAGCAAUGGAGUCAGGAGAUAAGGCAUUCAAGCAGCUGAUGGCAGGUAAUCUUUCCUUUCUGCUUUAAAUCUGUUGAGUUUACAGUGUCUAUUCCUUAAGCAAGCGAAUUGAUGAGAAAUCGAGUAUGAGGAGUUUGACCCGGGAAGAAUGGUAGCAUUAUCUUUGACUGAAGUAGGGCCAGCAUAUUUAGAUACCGUAUGGAAAAGACAUCAUUAGAAUAUUAGGAUUCUAGUCCACCGCCUUUUCACUGUUCCUGUUAUCUUCCUUCUUGGAAUGUCAAACGGCAAUGUCUCAUAUUAGGGAUCUACCUAAGCUAUCCCUACCUCCUUCCUUUCAAUCUUUAUCUCAACCAAGACACAAAACUGUUAUGCUGAGCGUCAUAUCAACCUGCUUGUGGUUUGUAGCAUUACCGAGGUCAUAAUUCCAAAUACAAAAAUUCUUCUCUCAAAAACCAAUCAA